AAGUCGUAACAAGGUUUCCGUAGGUGAACCUGCGGAAGGAUCAUUACCGAGUUAGGGUCUUCUGGGCCUGACCUCCAACCCUUUGUUUAUUCUACCCUGUUGCUUUGGCGGGUCCGCCCUUAGGGGCCGCCGGGGGUCUUAUCACCUCUGGUCCGUGCCUGCCAGUAGCCUUUUUAAAUCCUUUAUAAUUGUGAUGUCUGAGUACAAAAACAAAUCGUUAAAAACUUUCAACAACGGAUCUCUUGGUUCUGGCAUCGAUGAAGAACGCAGCGAAAUGCGAUAAGUAAUGCGAAUUGCAGAAUUCAGUGAGUCAUCGAAUCUUUGAACGCAUAUUGCGCCCUUUGGCAUUCCGAAGGGCAUGCCUGUUCGAGCGUCAUUAUCAACCAUCAAGCCCGGCUUGUCGUUGGACCCGUUUGUCGCCACAAGCGAUAGGUCCGAAAGAUAAUGAACGGUGUCAUGGUGGCCCUAAAUGCAACGAGCUUUUAAUAGCACGCAUCUGGUGGUCGGCAGGCCCAGUCUUAACCCAUUAUUUCAAGGUUGACCUCGGAUCAGGUAGGAAUACCCGCUGAACUUAAGCAUAUCAAUAAGCGGAGGAAAAGAAACCAACAGGGAUUACCCUAGUAACGGCGAGUGAAGCGGUAACAGCUCAAAUUUGAAAUCUGGCCUUCACGGGUCCGAGUUGUAAUUUGUAGAGGAUGUUUCGGGCAAGGUUGUGGUUUAAGUUUCUUGGAACAGAACGUCAUAGAGGGUGAGAGUCCCGUCUAGAACCGAUAGCCGCGUCCAUGUGAAACUCCUUCGACGAGUCGAGUUGUUUGGGAAUGCAGCUCAAAAUGGGUGGUAAAUUUCAUCUAAAGCUAAAUAUUGGCCAGAGACCGAUAGCGCACAAGUAGAGUGAUCGAAAGAUGAAAAGCACUUUGAAAAGAGAGUUAAACAGUAUGUGAAAUUGUUGAAAGGGAAGCGCUUGCAACCAGACUUGCGUAUGGCGGUUCCCCUAGUCUUUUGACUGGGCUAUUCCGUUUUAUCCAGGCCAGCAUCGGUUCGGGUGGUUGGUUAAAGGUCUUGGGAAUGUAUCUACCUCCGGGUCGACUUAUAGCCCAGGGCGCAAUGCGAUCUACCUGGACCGAGGAACGCGCUUUUGCUCGGAUGCUGGCGUAAUGGUUGUAAGCGGCC
This 1170-nucleotide ribosomal RNA is filed under the name uncultured fungus. RNAcentral's name for it is "eukaryotic LSU rRNA". The stretch from base 539 to 1170 matches the Rfam family "Eukaryotic large subunit ribosomal RNA", at positions 1 to 649 of the family's 3401-position model. Lineage: Eukaryota; Fungi. The record is from RNAcentral.